AGUGAACGCUGGCGGCGUGCUUAACACAUGCAAGUCGAACGAGAACGGAUUAUAGCUUGCUAUAAUUGUCAGCUAAGUGGCGCACGGGUGAGUAAUGUAUAGAUAACCUGCCCUCUAGAAAGGAAUAACAGUUGGAAACGACUGCUAAUGCCCUAUAUGCCUUUAAUACAUAAGUAUGCAAGGGAAACGCUUUAGUGCUAGAGGAUGGGUCUGUAUGGUAUCAGCUUGUUGUGGAGGUAAUGGCUCACCAAGGCUAUGACGCCUAACUGGUUUGAGAAGAUGAUCGGGCACACUGCAACUGAGACACGGUCCAGACUCCUACGGGAGGCAGCAGUGGGGAAUAUUGCACGAUGGAUGAAAGUCUGAUGCAGCAUCGCCGCGUGGAGGAUGACACAUUUCGGUGCGUAAACUCCUUUUAUAUAGGAAGAUAAUGACGGUACUAUAUGAAUAAGCACCGGCUAACUCCGUGCCAGCCGCCGCCGUAA
This 485-nucleotide ribosomal RNA is filed under the name uncultured bacterium. RNAcentral describes it as "partial 16S ribosomal RNA". It matches the Rfam family "Bacterial small subunit ribosomal RNA", at positions 29 to 523 of the family's 1533-position model. The record is from RNAcentral.